RNAcentral lists this long non-coding RNA (4288 nucleotides) under Marmota monax (woodchuck). Lineage: Eukaryota; Metazoa; Chordata; Mammalia; Rodentia; Sciuridae. The record is from RNAcentral.
ACAGGAGCACCGCAACAGGCCGCCAGUCUACUGCGGAGGUCCCAGGAGCCACGCCCCAGAAGUGAGGACCACUGCCGGGAUCGAGGAGUUUGUGGGUGACUGGGCCCUGGGGGGAUAAGGUCUCAUGGCUUGUUUCCAGGGUCUGUCUGCUCAAAGGGGAAUCCAUCUCACCCCUGGGGUCCCACUGUGGCCUUCGCAUGGCCAGCCCCAGGUGAUGGUUUUCAGACGACUGUGUCUUUAACUGGGUCCAGCACCAGGUCCAGGGAACCAUCAAAUUCCACAAAAACAAACCGCAAUCAGGGGCCAGAGGACAGCAGCCUGCACCCAUGCCCCCACAGGCCAGUACCCUCGGGUCUGAGCCAGAGGAGGCCAGGGCCUCGGCCUCCUGCAGCCACGCCUGCCUGUCACCAUGGCUGCAGGUGGGUCUCCAGCUCCUUAAUCAUGCCGGCAGAAACAAAUGUGUUGCUCUGAUCUGCAGACGGUUCCCACUUUACUGACGCACAGUGAGCAUGGAUUAGUCCCAUGAACUACAAAAGGGGCCUCUCCUCUCCUGGCAGGUGUUCAGCCUCUGACUGCAGUCAGGCUCACAGCGGGGUCCUCCGCCGCCGCCAGCACCGCGGAGCCAACAGGAGGGAUGCUGGAAUCCGUGGCGGACCCAGGAUGCUCCCAAAUACGGACCCCGCCCGCAGGUGCCUCUGAAACCAGAGCUCCUCUCCUCAACACCCCAACCAGAGGUAGCAGAGCUGGAGGGUUAGCGCUCCAAGGUACGCUGUAAGAAAAGCCAGGGGUGCAACAGCGUGGAUCCUCCAAGGCCAUUUAUAUAACCCAAGGGUGUGUGUGUGUGUGUGUGUGUGUCCAAACGGGGAGUACAGGAAGGCAGUCACUGACCCGUUGGUGUCUUGGGUGUUAUGAGUUGGUGUGGCCAGGGCGCAAUUUGCUCUGUGGUCCUGACUUUUGUGGUUGAAGACUUCUGGCCUGCAGAGACCCAAGUGGCUGACUGGGUCAGUCUGGGAGAAUCCCAUGGCUGCUCUAGCCUCUGACCAAAAGGAACAGGCACAUCUUAGAAACCAGCAGGACUAUCUGCCUCCGUGUAACUGUGAGAGACCUCUUCCUCCCUCACGACUCACGUGAUAGACAGCAGGAAGGAACCAGGAACAUGGUCCUGCUGCCAUUCCUCUUAGUGGUAGAUCAGGGAUGGACGGUGUAGAGAGCAGGCUGCACCUGCCCUGGGUGACUCCAUGGUGUGUAGGACAGCAGUCCUCAGGCUGUGCCUGCCCUGGGUGACUCCAUGGUGUGUAGAACAGCAGUCCUCAGGCUGUGCCUGCCCUGGUGACUCCAUGGUGUGCAGGACAGCAGUCCUCAGGCUGUGCCUGCCCUGGUGACUCCAUGGUGUGUAGAACAGCAGUCCUCAGGCUGUGCCUGCCCUGGCGACUCCAUGGUGUGUAGAACAGCAGUCCUCAGGCUGUGCCUGCCCUGGCGACUCCAUGGUGUGUAGAACAGCAGUCCUCAGGCUGUGCCUGCCCUGGUGACUCCAUGGUGUGUAGAACAGCAGUCCUCAGGCUGUGCCUGCCCUGACAGCAGUCCUCAGGCUGUGCCUGCCCUAGUGACUCCAUGGUGUGCAGGACAGCAGUCCUCAGGCUGUGCCUUCUGUGGUGACUCCAUGGUGUGUAGGACAGCAGUCCUCAGGCUGUGCCUGCCCUGGUGACUCCAUGGUGUGUAGAACAGCAGUCCUCAGGCUGCGCCUGCCCUGGUGACUCCAUGGUGUGCAGAACAGCAGUCCUCAGGCUGCACCUGCCCUGGUGACUCCAUGGUGUGUAGGACAGCAGUCCUCAGGCUGUGCCUGCCCUGGUGACUCCAUGGUGUGUAGAACAGCAGUCCUCAGGCUGUGCCUGCCCUAGUGACUCCAUGGUGUGUAGGACAGCAGUCCUCAGGCUGUGCCUGCCCUGGUGACUCCAUGGUGUGCAGGACAGCAGUCCUCAGGCUGUGCCUGCCCUGGUGACUCCAUGGUGUGUAGGACAGCAAUCCUCAGGCUGUGCCUGCCCUGGUGACUCCAUGGUGUGUAGAACAGAGUUUUCAGGCUACAGAUAUUAGUAAUUAUGUUUGAAAUAAAAAAAUCUGUGAUUGCCCAGCUUAUGCCUACCAGGUGAGGAGUGUUUGGUGAGCUGCAGCUGCUGAAAGUGGUGUACCUGAGAAGGGAUUGCUAUCCCGUGCCCUUCUGACAUUGUGGAGAGACACACAUGCUUGGCCCUUGCUAAUGGCACGGCUCAUUCAUGAAGGGUUUGGGGGACUUCUGCACAGAGAAGGAAGGGAGAAGGAGGCAGGAAUGGGGGUCAUGUCAGAAGGUAGGCGAGCAGCCAUGGGUCCCAGCAAGCCUCAGGCCAAGUCCACAGUCCUCCUGGGACCCCUCCCUGCCCACACUCCAGAAGAGGCUUCAAGACCCCACUCUUGUCAGCACACCUCCUGAGCCAGCUGGAGUGAGCACAGGGCCCAUGCCCAGGGCCGACUGCGUGUACUGCGUCUUCAGCGACUGCUAGUGCUUCUAGCUGCACACUUGCCAUCUGAUUAGAGGCAAAGUUGAUCUAUUUUAACUUCACACUCCAAGUUAUUCGUGGAGUUUAGUCACAGCCCUAUAUAAUAGAAAACCACCACUGCCUACAGUCAUUUGAAGCCACAAAAACCCUCUCUUUGCACUUUCUAUCUGCACUGUGGCCUGCAGGCUCCUGCAGCCGUGGUCUCCUGCCCUGCAGGUCCCUCUGGUCUGGGAGGCCUGGUGCACUGGCUGUCUGUGCCGUCCCUGGAUGCCAGCCCCCUCCUCCUGUGCCCACGGGACCAGCCCUGCACACCAGGCCCUCUCCCAAGAGCCCCACCGGCUCCUGAACCAAUAAAAGAUCACAUUUUAAUUGAAAGUCACUGUGGCGGCCGUAGGCAGAGGUCUGUUUGUCCUGCGCCUGUGCUGGGGGUUAGCUUCGGCUUGUAGAAGUGCCCACCUCAACUCAGCUGGAAACAGAGUCACACGUGCACACUGCCAAAUUUUCACUUAAACAUCGGUUUUUUAAAAACCAACACUUCACUUGGUUCAAACUGUAAACCAAAGGUCACACGUGUCCAGUCUCCCUCCCACACUGACCCCAGCCAACAAUCUCCUCUGAAGCCACACGGAUCUUUCCAGAGAUGCUUUGGCAUAUACAAUAAAUACAUCACAUAAAGGAGACCAAAAAAUUGCCUGCAGCUUCACACUUGGGAUAAGAGCCAUGUGGGUGUGGUGCGAUCAAGGUUCGGCCUUUCCCAGGAUUAACUGAGUUUUCCUCCCGGCCUCCUGAGCCUUGCUGGGCCGGGCCUGUGGUGCCCACCGUGCAGUAUGCCAAUCGUGAAAGAGAAAGGGUACUUCUGAGGUGGCUGGCGGGAGAGUGGCCUCCACCUGCCUCCCUGAAGGGGGUCCAGGGGUGUUUAUGGGUGGAGGCCCGAGGAAGGGGAACUGGAGGCCAUGAGGAAUGGUGACCAAACCACCAGCCACCAGGACACGGGGCACAGGUGUCACCUAUGCUCAACUAACCUUGGUGAUGUUUCGGGUCAACCGAAGCCAGGAACUAAGAGUGGAGACGUAGCUAAGGCUGAGAGCAGCGCUCACCGGGCUUUGCAGGCUGCGGAGCACGUGCCCUGUGGAGAGGCACCUCGCCAUGAACUCUCCUGUUUUCACGGAUCACUCUGGAGAGCUGAGUGGCAGGACGGACCCCGGCCCUCCUGGGCAGUGGCCUCCUGAGCACCAGCGUGCGGCCUGCUGUGCGCUGUGCCAUCGGGUCAGCGAGAGGCUCCCAGGGAGAACGUGGGGCCUUCCUGGGAACCACAUGCUUCCUUUCCCCUCCUGUCCUCCCCCAAACUUCCCAGUUCCAAAGCGUGACACUCCACACAACCCCCGCUUAGCCCAGAUGAGGAGAGCCACUCUGAACUCGCCCAGGAGAGCGCUACAGAGAAGCGCUCACCGCAGGCGCUCAGCCAAGAAAGGAUCGUGGACCACAGGACCAGACCCCUGUCGCCCAGCCUGCGGCACCCGUGGGACAGAGCCCUCAGCUGGGUCCACAGCAAGCGCAGUGAGCACUCAAAAGCCCAGGGAGCUCUGUGACCCAGGGAGGACCCAGGCCCCAGUCACCAAGGGACGGGGGCCCCCUUCCUGUGGACCUGGGAGCAGGAAUGUAGGGGUGCAGUUGACGGACCUCACAACCACGCGGCUUCAGAGGGAAUCCCACACAAUCAGAGCGCGAUGGAGAAGGGGGCAGCAAACACGGGCCUG